GAUGAAGAACGCAGCGAAAUGCGAUAAGUAAUGUGAAUUGCAGAAUUCAGUGAAUCAUCGAAUCUUUGAACGCACCUUGCGCCCUUUGGCCAUUCCGAAGGGCAUGCCUGUUUGAGUAUCAUGAACACCUCAACUCUUCAUGGUUUUCCAUGAUGAGCUUGGACUUGGGGGGUCUUGCUGGCCUGUGGGUCGGCUCCUCUCAAAUGAAUCAGCUUGCCGGUUUUUGGUGGGCAUCACAGGUGUGAUAACUAUCUACGCUUGUGGUUUUCCACCAGGGUAACCUUCAGCAGUGGAGGUUCACUGGAGCUUACAAAUGUCUCUCCUCUGUGAGGACAGCCCUUUGAAUGUUUGAUCUCAAAUCAGGUAGGACUACCCGCUGAACUUAAGCAUAUCAAUAAGCGGAGGA
RNAcentral lists this unclassified non-coding RNA (406 nucleotides) under soil metagenome. RNAcentral describes it as "partial contains 5.8S ribosomal RNA, internal transcribed spacer 2, and large subunit ribosomal RNA". The stretch from base 1 to 121 matches the Rfam family "5.8S ribosomal RNA", at positions 35 to 154 of the family's 154-position model. The record is from RNAcentral.